This 896-nucleotide long non-coding RNA is filed under the name Pan troglodytes (chimpanzee). RNAcentral describes it as "long non-coding RNA NONPTRT008533". Lineage: Eukaryota; Metazoa; Chordata; Mammalia; Primates; Hominidae. The record is from RNAcentral.
CGCAGCCAGGAAGGAAAGGGGCUCCCCGGAGAGUGAGAGACCCUUAAACCUCUCCUGUCAGUCAGUAGGAACCAGAAUCAUUGUUCGUUUUAUCACUGCUGUGACUCCAGCUCCCAGCGUGCUUAAUUUUGGGAUGGAUGGCUAAAGGACUUUCCCCCGGAGCCUGGAGCCGUCAUACGCUGAGGGGUCUCGCUUUGUCGCCCAGACGAAUGCAGUGGCGCGAUCACACUUCAAGUAACCUCACAUUCCUGUGCUCAAGUGAUCCUCCUGCCUCAGCCUUUGGAGUACUUGGGACUACAGGCGCGCACAACCGCGCCCGGCGAAUUUUUAAAAUUUUUUUGUAGAGCCAGGGGUCCCACUUUGUUGCCCAGGCUAGUCUCCAACUCCUGGCCUCAAGCAAUCCUCCCGCUUCAGCCUCUCAAAAUGCUGGGAUUACGCGCGUGAGCCACCAGCCUGGCUUACUUCCGUCAUCAUACCCUGUCUCUGGCUGGCAUGAGAUGGAUAGUGAGAUAGAACUUCCCAUUCUGUGUUCCCAGGACCUGGAGGAAAUCUACAGAUGUGAAACAAGACAACUGUGGUCCUUAUUUCCCUAUGGGAUGGGUGGGGCUCUAUUUAGGUGUUACCAGCAGAGUAGACAGACAUGUCACUCAGUGGCCAGGGCUUUGAUGGAUCCAGAGGGCUGAGGGAGCUGUCCACCCCAGGCUGGAGGGUCAAGGAAGCCUUCUUUCUGGGAGGGUACCCUCAAGCUAAGACCUGAAGAACGAGUAGGAGCUGGGUUAAGAGGAAGGUAGUGAAGAAUCUUGAGGAGGAUGGCAGGUACGGACGGUUCUGGUUGCUGCAAGCACUUCACUACGGUCAGGGCAUAGGAAAGGAGCUCUAACUUGAAAGCCAUGAUU